UCUCUCUCCUUUCUCGCACAACUUAGCUCUCACCCAAUGCACUCCUUUGAACCUUAGCUCCAUGGAACAAUAUACUACUGCUGAUCCCAAAAUAGCAUAUCCAAAUUAUAAGAAAAUCCAUAGAGGUCCGCCGCUCUUACCAUUGUGUGUCCGUUAGCUCCGCCAGGCCCGCCACGUGCUUCAUCAAGACCGCCGAGCAUUCUAAUUUCAUCGUGUGUUUAGAUCUGCCGUUCGUUUGGAUCUACCGUGCAUUCCAUCACUUUUGGGCUCGAGCUGUUCGUUCUUCCGCCAUGCGUUCCGUCACUCUCAAGCUUGAGCUAGGCCGUUUGAUUUCCAUGAUUUUUUAUUUAGUCAGUUGUUAAUACGAACAUUUGUAGUUUUGAUGUAGUCUUCAUUGGAACAUUAUAUUAAAGGUUAAAGAAUGGCUUCAAAAUCUAGGAAUAAGAUAUCAAAUAGCAGUGCCCUAAGAUGAGGAUGGAACCAGAUGAUGAGGCCGAUCCUCUGCAUCAUGAUGAAUUCCUAAAAAUAGAAGGUCGAUAGCUGCUCAUCCUUGGCAUGAUCUUGAGAUUGGUACUUUCAUAUCUGUUAUAACAUUUUUCGUUUUGACCUUACUGUGGUUAUGCCUGUCAUUGUUCUGAUUUAAUUUUACUUUUUGUUUUCUUCUCGUCUGCAAGACCUGAUGCUCCCAAGAUUUUGAAUUGUGUAUGUUUUCCCCUCUUUCUUUUAUGUAUGUUCAAAAUUUAUGGAAAUUUAAGCAUUGAUGAUUAGAUGUAACAAAAGUAGAGUUGUUUAGAAGCCAUGUUCAUGGUUUGAUUGCCAGUUGGACCAAUGCCACUGCCUGGAGCUGAGGGUCAUAUUAGCUAUAUGGAACUUUUUAAAAUUAUUCUACAUGCAGAAUCUUCUCCUGUGAGAAGCAACGUGACAAUAUGGAACUUUUUGGUCCAAUCUCAUGGCAGGUAGCAUGGUUCGAGCCUCAAAAGCUGCUUUGACUUCAGAGCAGGAGAGACUACAAAAACUUGAGGAGGUGAAGAAGGGAAACCAAGCAUUGAGAUUGAGUUCAAAUAAGGUCUGACAUGACUCAUUAACAAAUACUUUGAAAGCUUAUUAUUUUGUCGGUUCUAUAUGACAGAUAUUGCCAGACAUAGAUAUUUCGUUUUCACGUGGAAUGCAACUUACUGGUCAGGUUAGCAUAUGAUAGUUAACAUUUGUUAACAUCUGAUUCAAUGUGUCUCUCACCCUUUCUUAAACCCCAUCUUAGAAUUAUGUCAUCACUUCUAUUAAUUAAAUGUACAAGACCUAGCAGAAGCUUAAUUAGUGAAUUUGGAGUAGUUUCAAGGGAGUUCUUUGCGAAAAUUAAGGUAUUCAGAUUAAUUAGGAAACUAAUGAAUAUAGGCAUACUACCCUGUUAUAAGCUUUUUUGAUAAGUUGAAUUGUUUGUGCUUAGUUGUUUAUAAGUUUAUUUAUUUAUUUUUAGUUUAGGAUUCUGCAUUUUUUCUGACAAAGUCGCUUUUUGUUAGUAUUUUAUAUUAGUUUUGGUAAUAUUACUUGUUUUGGGUUCAUAAGAUCUUGUUAUUUCUAUAUCAAAUUAGACUUCCCUAUUGAAGCUUCUAUUUGUAACUUCGGAUUAGUUUUGGACUCAUUCGAUCAUUUUUCAGUUAGGACUCAAAUCAUUUUCGGUAAGUUUUAUACUGGAAAGAAAUUUUUUUAUUUACUUGUUAUCUCACUAAUUUUUCUAUUGCACCUUAUUGAGGGUAAAAUUAUGUUCUGUUUUUUUACUUAUUUGUUCAAAUUCUUGUUUUAUCUACUUUGUAGAUGGGAGAAUAGUCUCGAGGUUCCAAAAAUUGACAUAAGAGAAACUUGGGAAGACAUCGAUGGACAUUCUUCAUUUAUCUUCAACUUAUUUUUAGUCAUUUUAACUAUUUUGUAAUUUUAUUUUUAAUUCUAUUCUUGUGUGCAACUUAGCAUAUAUACUCUACUUGUUCGAUGUAGAAUAUAUAUGUAUACUUCAUGGUUGAUACGUAGGGAUUUGCGGUCGAAACAAAUAGAGUUGAUUUGGAUAAAAAA
This is a non-coding RNA of Benincasa hispida (wax gourd), 2064 nucleotides long. Lineage: Eukaryota; Viridiplantae; Streptophyta; Magnoliopsida; Cucurbitales; Cucurbitaceae. The record is from RefSeq and is a predicted model, not a curated record.